Molecule: ribosomal RNA, 468 nt
Filed under: uncultured bacterium
Lineage: Bacteria
Description: partial 16S ribosomal RNA
Rfam family: Bacterial small subunit ribosomal RNA
Source: RNAcentral
GACGAACGCUGGCGGCGUGCUUAACACAUGCAAGUCGAACGGAAAGGCCCUGCUUUUGUGGGGUGCUCGAGUGGCGAACGGGUGAGUAACACGUGAGUAACCUGCCCUUGACUUUGGGAUAACUUCAGGAAACUGGGGCUAAUACCGGAUAGGAGCUCCUGCUGCAUGGUGGGGGUUGGAAAGUUUCGGCGGUUGGGGAUGGACUCGCGGCUUAUCAGCUUGUUGGUGGGGUAGUGGCUUACCAAGGCUUUGACGGGUAGCCGGCCUGAGAGGGUGACCGGCCACAUUGGGACUGAGGUGCGGCCCAGACUCCUACGGGAGGCAGCAGUGGGGAAUAUUGCACAAUGGGCGGAAGCCUGAUGCAGCAACUCCGCGUGCGGGAUGACGGCCUUCGGGUUGUAAACCGCGUUCGCCUGUGACGAAGCGUGAGUGACGGUAAUGGGUAAAGAAGCACCGGCUAACUACGUG